CAGAUUGAAAUUUUGGAGGUAUCAAUUCCUUGAGAUGGGAGGAGAACGGAAGGAAAACAAACAACUACCUUUUCCUUUCCUGUUGUUGCUGAUGUGCACUUUCCCUGUCUUCCACGUCAUGACUCAGGAAAUGAGGGGGUGCAUCUCAGAGGGCACCCUGCCUGUGUUCUCUGUCAUUGCCUGUGAGCCACCGACUGAUACCAUCAUUUUAAUCACUCAAGAAGCCUUCCUUUCAGGAAUGUAUAUUGCUUCUUGGCCCCUGCCUUCUCCCAAGCCAUAACCUUAGGGACAAUAAGCUAGAGACCCUGCCAGCAUCCUUGAGCCAGGAUCUCAUCUGUUGUCACAGUAGCCAUGUUUCCCUGGCAUCCGAGAGCCCAAGGAUGCAAAUAAGGCCUGGGCCAAACUAAGCUCUGACAAUUAAUGUUAUUCCAAAGAGGCAGCAGCGAGGGUAGGAAGUUCUGGUCCCCUCAUCUUACUUCAAGUUUCACAGCCAAGAGUGAUGAUAGCUUUAGUCAGUAAGUACAGUCAAGGAGCCUAUGAGACAGAACUUGUCACAAAGACAGCUGAUGUUUCGCAUGGACCUUAACAGAGUAACUGGUGUCUCUUCAGGAAUGGGGCACAAUCCAGAGGUUACUAACCACGGGACAUUUACUGGAUUUGGUACUUGGCGAAAGAAACUGACAAAUUAAGAAAUGAGAGAGAGAAUAAAUGCACUGUGCAUGCUGAAACCCCAAGAAGACUUUUUUUCUCCUACUUUUUAUGGACCUGAGGUGUUGGAAAUGGAAACAUUGUUUCAAACAAAAUCCAGAUUUUUAUCUCUCUCCCCAAGAGAUAUGGCUUUAAUCUUUUUUCUUUUCUUCUGCUGCUUUUCUGAAACACUCUGCUAGGGGCUGAUUUCCUCUUCUUUGAAACAGACCAAAAUAUCCCUGUGGGUGAAAAACAUGCCGGAAGUGAAACAGAAAGACUCAGCUUGCCCCGUGUUCGUGGUCUGUCAACUUCUCUAGCCAGUGCCUGGAUCCACAGCUCACUGCUGCCGGUUGCCCUGCGUUAGCCGCAUUGCGGGGGAGACAGGAGAGGCUUGAAGGCUUUUUAUAUUCUACUCUCUUCUGAAGAAUUCACAAGUUAGCAAGCACUCAACCACUACUAACCAGAAGGUAUUGCCAACCAUAACAAACUACACCCAUCAACAAGGCCUCCCUCAUAUUGCAAUCCCAGCAGAAAAUGAUGCAGGAAAAGCACUCCCCAAAUCUUGGUUGCCUGCCACCCAAGUUCUUAUGCCAAGAUAUGUGUUUAGCCAGUUCUAAGAUGCUGCCACCUUUUCAUGUGUCCAACACUAGGCUUUCUACCAUAGUUCCCUCCACCCAGAAUGUGUUACUUGGCUCCUACAAAUGCAAGAGGAAGUGCC
This 1405-nucleotide long non-coding RNA is filed under the name Homo sapiens (human). RNAcentral's name for it is "HSALNT0087869". Lineage: Eukaryota; Metazoa; Chordata; Mammalia; Primates; Hominidae. The record is from RNAcentral.